GCAUUUCUCAAGGAUUUGCUCAAAGGGUCCCUUUCCAAGAUGCAAAGGAAAUG
This 53-nucleotide transfer RNA is filed under the name Zygnema circumcarinatum. RNAcentral's name for it is "tRNA-Pro". The record is from RNAcentral. Lineage: Eukaryota; Viridiplantae; Streptophyta; Zygnematophyceae; Zygnematales; Zygnemataceae.